Amphiprion ocellaris (clown anemonefish) is the source of this 2489-nucleotide long non-coding RNA. RefSeq lists it as uncharacterized. NCBI's taxonomy places the organism in Eukaryota, Metazoa, Chordata, Actinopteri, Pomacentridae. The transcript has 5 exons. The record is from RefSeq and is a predicted model, not a curated record.
UGUGGCUGGGCUGCUGAUGGUGGAUGCUGACUCGACAGGGCAUAUCAUGGGGAAAACAGAUGAAAGAAGGCAUCAAAGCACGAGAUCAAACCUGAGAAAAGGCCUGCUAGGAUGCUCCCGAUGAUACGUACCACCAUAGGAGGAUGCUGCCACUAUCAUGUUCCACUGCAGUGAUGGUAUAAGCAGACCAGUCAAACCAGCAACAUCUCGGUCCUCGGUCCAUCCCUGGGUGGAGCAGAGAAUCACUGCAGUUGACAAGUUGGAUUAGACUAACCGUCGCCUUUGGUUCUGCAAGGUUUCAGUGUGUGUGUGUGUGUGUGUGUGUGUGUGUGUGUGUGUGUGUGUGUGUGUGUGUGUGUGUGUGUGUGUGUGUGUGUGUGUGUGUGUGUGUGUGUGUGUGUGUGUGUGUGUGUGUGUGCGUGAGACUGAAUCUGUGUGGCACCUGCAUGCACACAAACUCAAGCAAUAAGACAACUUUAUGUUUCCACAGAAAGUCUUGGAAGGUGGCACAGUGACUCGGUGGUUAAGACUGUGGCCUUGGAGCUAGAAGAUCCCCGGUUCGUGUCCUGGUCUGGACCUGGAAUCUUUCUGCGUGGAGUUUGCAUGUUCUCCCUGUGCAUGUGUGGGUUUUCUCCAGCUACUCCAGCUUUCUACCACAACCCAAAAACAUACCGAGGAAUCCCUAAAAUGCAAAUUUGAAAAUGCACAGACAAAGAGAGGCAGAGAGAGAUGACACUCCGCCCCAUAGAGUAGAGGAAACAGGACAUCAUGAAAGGAAGUGCAGCAACAACAUCAUUCCCUCCCCUGCAGUUCCUCCUCCUCCCCUUCCUCCUCCUCCUCCUCCUCCUCCUCGCCCUCAUCGCACACACACACACACACAUGUUCCCAUGUAAUUCCCCUCCCUCCCAAUCCUCCUGCACUUGUAAAACGUUGGCGUGCCACCGGUAACCAUGGCAACGGCUGCACGUCGGCUGCUCGAGAUGCAUUCGCAGCAACCACGCCGUGAAAACAGCACCAUCCCACCCACUGGAGGGAAAGAGGCCGCAUUCAUCACCAUGACGAGGGCAGUGCUGGGUGUUAAUGUGGUGGACUUCGCUGCGAAUACGACAAAUCCAGUCCAACAACAACAUCCACUCUUGAUUCAUGUCCUGUGACACACGCACGGGUGGCUUAAAAACACAGAAUGAUACAUUUAUACAGCUUAAACAACAAAAAUGAAAAUGUGCUUUGAAUGGAUCCACUUCACACACUGUAUGCUGCAGAUACUUAACUCAAACACACCCACUCAGAUUUAUAUAUCAGUGUGUACAUAACCAUACAUGGGAUCAUAUUCUGGUUUUCAGUUCCUUUAUUUAUAUCCUGAAUCUGUGUUAUUCAUUUGCUAAUUUAGUUGUUUUCUAAAUGAAUUCAAACCAGAAAUCAUAGUUGAAAAUAAGCAAAUCAUACCUGCUGCAUUUCCUCCUCCAGCAACCAUUUGUAGCUCUAUAUGGUCCCUGGUAAAUAUGUAAGCAAAAACUAUUAAAUAAAAUAUAAAAAGCCCUGUUUCAGCCCUUUUUUUUAACAUUAAGUUAAAUUUUUUUCCCAUUUGCAAGGGAAUUGUUGAAACAAAUUACACACUAUUGACUUUAGGACUUUCAGUGUUUACUUUUGUAACACAAAUAAUCCAUUUUAUUUCUUCAUAUGCCAUUUGAUUUAAGAGAUUUGAUCACAUUUAUUGCCAAAAUUCUCAUUCACAUAUGGAAAUAAACUGUGUUUUUGGUCAGUGACAUUAAAGACUGCAUUCCCCUGUUGUGUAAACUUUAAUGCUUUAUAUUGUGGAAUUUAUAAAAUAUAAAUGAUUAAUAAGAAUGAAUACUUCUAUUAUUUAAGAGUAAAGAACAGCUGUCAACACACAUCUUACCUUUGUGGUUUUAUUUAAGCUCUCUUAUUUUUUUUAGGAUUUAUGCAAUCAAUAACCUUGUUCUAGGUUCUCCCUGUUUCAUUAGGUUUUAAUGUACAUAAGUUAACUGUAUUAUAAAAUUUUAUGCACUUGUUCUUUAGAAUAAAAAAUCUCUCCAUAAACACUGCCAUCUACCUGCCAGAUUUUGGCUGUUGUGUCUGCUGCUGCACCCAGGGGCCCAGUUAAAUAAACAGCUGACUGAGUCACAUCGAGACUCACAAUUAGAGAGGAAAAAAUACUGUACUGUUAAAACAAGAAGCUACAAUGAAGACACAGACUGGGUCUUUAUUUUGUCACACUUCCUUUGUGUGUCCAUGUGUGUGUGUGUGUGUGUGUGUGUGUGUGUGUGUGUGUGGACCAGAUUACUAACCAGUCGGAGGUGACACACUCCUCUGGCAUCCUCCACUGUCUGCCUGCCCCCAAAUCCUGCCCGUCUCCGUCUGCUUGACUCUCUUCGUCUGCUUGUGUCUCGUGUGCACCACAUGACCUCACUGCCCAAAGAUCAGGCAUCCCAGGGAGCAUUACUGCCCUCGUCUCCAUGGCAACAGCC